UACGGAGGGGGCGAGCGUUAUUCGGAAUUAUUGGGCGUAAAGGGCGCGUAGGCGGCUUGACAAGUCAAAGGUGAAAUCCCUCGGCUCAACUGAGGAACUGCCUUUGAAACUGUCUGGCUUGAGGCCGGGAGGGGGUAGCGGAAUUCCUGGUGUAGCGGUGAAAUGCGCAGAUAUCAGGAGGAACACCGGUGGCGAAGGCGGGUCUCUGGGCCGAUACUGACGCUGAGGAGCGAAAGCGUGGGGAGCGAACAGG
This 253-nucleotide ribosomal RNA is filed under the name uncultured bacterium. RNAcentral describes it as "partial 16S ribosomal RNA". It matches the Rfam family "Bacterial small subunit ribosomal RNA", at positions 524 to 776 of the family's 1533-position model. The record is from RNAcentral.